RNAcentral lists this long non-coding RNA (1205 nucleotides) under Anas platyrhynchos platyrhynchos (common mallard). RNAcentral's name for it is "lncRNA (ENSAPLG00000019967.1)". Lineage: Eukaryota; Metazoa; Chordata; Aves; Anseriformes; Anatidae. The record is from RNAcentral.
CAGUGACCAGUCAAAAUGAGUAACUCAUCUGACUUUCAAAACGCAUCUCAGUUUGAAAUCAAGUUAAUGUUGCUAUUAACAUGUUCAGAAAGGAGGGAAGAAAAAGAGGAAAAAAGAAAACAAGCUAGGCUAUUAGACGAUCUCCUUAAGACUGCCAGCCCUGUGUCUUUAUGUUAUAAACUACUCUUUCUGAGUUAUAUAUGACUCAAGACUUUUUUUGUGCUUUGUUUCUUCCAGCAGGAAAAGCAGAUAAACAACAUGCCCAUGAAUUUUGCUUAAAGGUGCAUCAACUGCAACAAAUCUGGGUAGGACUGCCACUGCAGAGCAUACACUGGGCGAGAUCAAUGCUUUGCUCUCUGCUGAGACAGAACACGAAGGAAAGGGACCUGGAGCCCCAGCAAAGGCAGCGCCCCGGCCAGCAGAGCUGCUCAAACUGCUCGAGUCUGCACCUGUACCCACCUGCACGGUCUCUCUGCCAUGCUGCGGGGCACCGAUACCCUCUGUCUGCCCAACAGAAGCACACAAAAUCAGCACCUGGACCUGGGGUAUGUGAACACAUCACAGCGGAUAUCUUCUGUGAUAUUAACCGUGGAAGAGUCACCCAUAUCUUCAUCUGACUUUGGUUCCCGAAUUACAAAAUGGGGACUGUCCCAUGUGUUGUCACCUGAGCGACUCUGAAGAUCGCUCUUUGUGUAUAGUGCACAUAAUGCCACAGAAGUGCUAUAUUUUGCCUUUUUUUCCCCUCAUUUUCAGUUCUGUUUUUAAACUUUCACCUUAAAAAUUAGAAAGGCACAGUUUGCAUGGUGACACACCACUGUUCGUACAGCACUCUGGGAAAUACAAAAGACUUUUUUUUGUUUCUAGUUUGCAUUUAUCCUAUUUAUAGGCAAUCAUCAGCAGAUAAAUGUCCUGUUAAAUUCAUCUUCAUCUAAGCAAAAGUUGAGCUUAUGAUUAUGAUAAAAUGAAAGCAAUUUCUAAAUAUGCUAUGCUGGGGAUUUAUGUUAAUUCACUCUAAAUCAUAUAAAUUAUAAGUGACAGUUUAUCCAGAGCAUUAUUUUGUGUUUCUAAUUUUACCCUAAUUAUUUUCAUUCAGUAGGUUUAUACCAAUAGCUGUUACAUAUCUCCAUGCCUUUGUCUACCUUUCUUGUUGUGAUCCCAGCUCUCAGGUAACAGAUACACAAUAAAAGGAACCUAUUCCUCUAACA